UACGAAGGGGGCUAGCGUUGCUCGGAAUCACUGGGCGUAAAGCGCACGUAGGCGGCUUCUUAAGUCAGGGGUGAAAUCCUGGAGCUCAACUCCAGAACUGCCUUUGAUACUGAGGAGCUCGAGUCCGGGAGAGGUGAGUGGAACUGCGAGUGUAGAGGUGAAAUUCGUAGAUAUUCGCAAGAACACCAGUGGCGAAGGCGGCUCACUGGCCCGAUACUGACGCUGAGGCACGAAAGCGUGGGGAGCAAACAGG
Molecule: ribosomal RNA, 253 nt
Filed under: uncultured bacterium
Lineage: Bacteria
Description: partial 16S ribosomal RNA
Rfam family: Bacterial small subunit ribosomal RNA
Source: RNAcentral